This 500-nucleotide ribosomal RNA is filed under the name uncultured bacterium. Its description in RNAcentral is "partial 16S ribosomal RNA". It matches the Rfam family "Bacterial small subunit ribosomal RNA", at positions 30 to 523 of the family's 1533-position model. The record is from RNAcentral.
AUUGAACGCUGGCGGCAGGCCUAACACAUGCAAGUCGAGCGAAUGACGGGAGCUUGCUCCUUGAUUCAGCGGCGGACGGGUGAGUAAUGCCUAGGAAUCUGCCUGGUAGGGGGGGACAACGUUUCGAAAGGAACGCUAAUACCGCAUACGUCCUACGGGGGAAAGCAGGGUACCUUCGGGCCUUGCGAUAGCAGAUGAGCCUAGGUAGGAUUAGCUAGUUGGUGGGGUAAUGGCUGACCAAGGCGACGAUCCGUAACUGGUCUGAGCGGAUGAACAGUCACACUGGAACUGAGACACGGGCCAGACUCCUACGGGAGGCAGCAGUGGGUAAUAUUGGAGAAUGGGCGAAAGCCUGAUCCAGCCAUGCCGCGUGUGUGAAGAAGGUCUUCGGAUUGUAAAGCACUUUAAGUUGGGAGGAAGGGCAGUAAGUUAAUACCUUGCUGUUUUGACGUUACCGACAGAAUAAGCACCGGCUAACUCUGUGCCAGCCGCCGCCGUAA